GCACUGGUGGUUCAGUGACAGAAUUCUGGCCUUUCAUGCAGGAGUCCUGGGUUCAAUUCCCAGCCAAUGCA
This is a transfer RNA of Loxodonta africana (African savanna elephant), 71 nucleotides long. It matches the Rfam family "tRNA". From Rfam's summary of the family: Transfer RNA (tRNA) molecules are approximately 80 nucleotides in length. Their secondary structure includes four short double-helical elements and three loops (D, anti-codon, and T loops). Further hydrogen bonds mediate the characteristic L-shaped molecular structure. tRNAs have two regions of fundamental functional importance: the anti-codon, which is responsible for specific mRNA codon recognition, and the 3' end, to which the tRNAs corresponding amino acid is attached (by aminoacyl-tRNA synthetases). tRNAs cope with the degeneracy of the genetic code in two manners: having more than one tRNA (with a specific anti-codon) for a particular amino acid; and 'wobble' base-pairing, i.e. permitting non-standard base-pairing at the 3rd anti-codon position. NCBI's taxonomy places the organism in Eukaryota, Metazoa, Chordata, Mammalia, Proboscidea, Elephantidae. The record is from Rfam.